RNAcentral lists this long non-coding RNA (482 nucleotides) under Salvia miltiorrhiza (redroot sage). RNAcentral describes it as "long non-coding RNA (SMIL_LNC007020)". Lineage: Eukaryota; Viridiplantae; Streptophyta; Magnoliopsida; Lamiales; Lamiaceae. The record is from RNAcentral.
GGCAGCAGCGGCGGAGCUCUUCAGACGAGAACAGAGGAGGACGGCCUCCGGCGGCAGUCUCCGGCGCACGGCACUCUCCGACAGCAACAAUCAGCAACUUAGGAUUUAAAAAGUUUACAAAUCGAUUCUUCAACCGAAUUCCCCUUCAAAAAAUAAUAUAAAUCGGUUCUUCAACCAAACAUUCAAAAAUUCAACCAAACAUUCAAAAAUUAAACUGAAAGCUUACAUUGAUGGCCGAUGUCGACGGUGUGGUGGCGGAGUCGGCGUCGUGGCGGAGAAGAGAGCCUGCCGGCGGAGGAGCGCUACAGACGAAACAGAGGACGGCGACUGCGAACCUUCACCGGGAACAACUCAGCGGGAAAUCGGCCCGAUCGACGGCGUUCUCCAGCGGCGCGCAGGUUCGGCGAGCUCCAACAGCGGCGUUUGUCCGAUUUGAGGAAGAGGCGUCGAUUUUGGAGAAUGAAGGGGCGGCGAGCUCUUUU